GGACAUCGAGGACUUGCUGGCAGGGAUCCAAACAGCCCGCUGUGGAUCAACCUUUUUCCGAGACCUUGGCGAUAAAGGGCUAAUUUCGUAUACCGAAUAUCUUUUCCUGCUUACGAUCCUCACUAAACCCCAUUCAGGGUUUCAUGUUGCCUUUAAAAUGCUGGAUGCAGAUGGGAAUGAAAUGAUUGAAAAAAAGGAAUUUUUUAAGG
Molecule: long non-coding RNA, 209 nt
Organism: Carlito syrichta (Philippine tarsier)
Lineage: Eukaryota; Metazoa; Chordata; Mammalia; Primates; Tarsiidae
Exons: 3
Source: RefSeq, a predicted model, not a curated record